UGGCAUAGGCUACGCUACCAUGCAGUCGAACGGUAACACGAAGAAGCUUGCUUCUUUGCUGACGAGUGGCGGACGGGUGAGUAAUGUCUGGGAAACUGCCUGAUGGAGGGGGAUAACUACUGGAAACGGUAGCUAAUACCGCAUAACGUCGCAAGACCAAAGAGGGGGACCUUCGGGCCUCUUGCCAUCGGAUGUGCCCAUAUGGGAUUAGCUUGUGGGUGGGGUAACGGCUCACCUAGGCGACGAUCCCUAGCUGGUCUGAGAGGAUGACCAGCCACACUGGAACUGAGACACGGUCCAGACUCCUACGGGAGGCAGCAGUGGGGAAUAUUGCACAAUGGGCGCAAGCCUGAUGCACCCAUGCCGCGUGUAUGAAGAAGGCCUUCGGGUUGUAAAGUACUUUCAGCGGGGAGGAAGGGAGUAAAGUUAAUACCUUUGCUCAUUGACGUUACCCGCAAAAGAAGCACCGGCUAACUCCGUGCCAGCAGCCGCGGUAAUACGGAGGGUGCAAGCGUUAAUCGGAAUUACUGGGCGUAAAGCGCACGCAGGCGGUUUGUUAAGUCAGAUGUGAAAUCCCCGGGCUCAACCUGGGAACUGCAUCUGAUACUGGCGAGCUAGAGUCUUGUAGAGGGGGGUAGAAUUCCGUGUGUAGCGGUGAAAUGCGUAGAGAUCUGGAGGAAUACCGGUGGCGAACGCGGCC
Molecule: ribosomal RNA, 700 nt
Filed under: Escherichia coli
Lineage: Bacteria; Pseudomonadati; Pseudomonadota; Gammaproteobacteria; Enterobacterales; Enterobacteriaceae
Description: bacterial SSU rRNA
Rfam family: Bacterial small subunit ribosomal RNA
Source: RNAcentral